Humulus lupulus (European hop) is the source of this 81-nucleotide small nucleolar RNA. RefSeq annotates it as small nucleolar RNA snoR53Y. The transcript has a single exon. The record is from RefSeq and is a predicted model, not a curated record. Lineage: Eukaryota; Viridiplantae; Streptophyta; Magnoliopsida; Rosales; Cannabaceae.
GUUCUUGUUGGAGCUUUAAAUAAGCCAUGCUAAUUUCGAUUACUGUAUGACGAUUCUUUUUUGUUAUAUUCUGAGGGAACU